This 332-nucleotide ribosomal RNA is filed under the name uncultured bacterium. RNAcentral's name for it is "bacterial SSU rRNA". It matches the Rfam family "Bacterial small subunit ribosomal RNA", at positions 29 to 361 of the family's 1533-position model. The record is from RNAcentral.
AUUAAACGCUGGCGGCAUGCCUUACACAUGCAAGUCGAACGGCAGCACGGGGCAACCUGGUGGCGAGUGGCGAACGGGUGAGUAAAGCAUCGGAACGUGCCCUGGAGUGGGGGAUAACGCAGCGAAAGUUACGCUAAUACCGCAUAUUCUGUGAGCAGGAAAGCAGGGGAUCGCAAGACCUUGCGCUCUGGGAGCGGCCGAUGUCGGAUUAGCUAGUUGGUGGGGUAAAGGGCCUACCAAGGCGACGAUCCGUAGCGGGUCGUGAGAGGAUGAUCCGCCACACUGGGACGUGAGACACGGCCCAGACUCCUACGGGAGGCAGCAGUGGGGAA